Molecule: ribosomal RNA, 710 nt
Filed under: Spongiforma squarepantsii
Lineage: Eukaryota; Fungi; Basidiomycota; Agaricomycetes; Boletales; Boletaceae
Description: eukaryotic LSU rRNA
Rfam family: 5.8S ribosomal RNA (bases 290-444)
Source: RNAcentral
GGAUCAUUAUCGAACGAUUCAAAAAGACUGUUGCUGGCUCUCGAGCAUUGUGCACGUCUUUCUUUGAUCACACACGUCCACCAUCGUGCACCAAUUCGUAGACCCUUGAGAAACGAACGCAAGCUGAAGUCUAGUUAAUAGUCUUAUCAAAGGCGAACACAGGCUCGAGAGAGUCUAGUUAUUAGUCGAAAGGGCGAACGCAGACGGAAAGUCUAGUUAUUAGUGGAAAAGGUGAACUACGUCGUCUACACCUUUGUCGUAUGUCCAGAAAGUCGAAACCAUAUUAUACAACUUUCAGCAAUGGAUCUCUUGGUUCUCGCAUCGAUGAAGAACGCAGCGAAUCGCGAUAAGUAAUGUGAAUUGCAGAUUUCCAGUGAAUCAUCGAAUCUUUGAACGCACCUUGCGCCCUUUGGUAUUCCGAAGGGCAUGCCUGUUUGAGUGUCAUGAAAUACAUCAACCCUUGGCUUGCGCCAUGGGCUUGGACUUGGAGGUUGCAGGCCGCGCAAGCAGUCAGCUCUUCUUAAACGCAUUAGCGAGUCGUACCCCCUAUGAUAGUCGGCGUGAUAACGAUCGUCGUGGUCAUCAAACGGGGCUCGAGCGAUUCUCGCUUCUAACCUUAAGAGUAGGCGAACGAGUCUAGUUAUUAGUCGAAAGGCGAACACAGACUUCGUUAGUCCGAAAUUUAUUACCACUCUUGACCUCAAAUCAGG